UCAAAACAGCGGCCUUCGGGCCUCGCUGCACCCUUGUCUUUUGCGCACCGUAUUGUUUCCUCGGCGGGCUUGCCUGCCGGUUGGACAUCAUAAAACCUUUUGUAGUUGCAAUCAGCGUCAGAAAACAAUAAUUAUUA
RNAcentral lists this unclassified non-coding RNA (137 nucleotides) under soil metagenome. RNAcentral's name for it is "partial internal transcribed spacer 1". The record is from RNAcentral.